This 439-nucleotide ribosomal RNA is filed under the name Brevundimonas sp. RNAcentral describes it as "bacterial SSU rRNA". It matches the Rfam family "Bacterial small subunit ribosomal RNA", at positions 232 to 688 of the family's 1533-position model. Lineage: Bacteria; Pseudomonadati; Pseudomonadota; Alphaproteobacteria; Caulobacterales; Caulobacteraceae. The record is from RNAcentral.
CGCGUCUGAUUAGCUAGUUGGUGAGGUAAAGGCUCACCAAGGCGACGAUCAGUAGCUGGUCUGAGAGGAUGAUCAGCCACAUUGGGACUGAGACACGGCCCAAACUCCUACGGGAGGCAGCAGUGGGGAAUCUUGCGCAAUGGGCGAAAGCCUGACGCAGCCAUGCCGCGUGAAUGAUGAAGGUCUUAGGAUUGUAAAAUUCUUUCACCGGGGACGAUAAUGACGGUACCCGGAGAAGAAGCCCCGGCUAACUUCGUGCCAGCAGCCGCGGUAAUACGAAGGGGGCUAGCGUUGCUCGGAAUUACUGGGCGUAAAGGGAGCGUAGGCGGACAUUUAAGUCAGGGGUGAAAUCCCGGGGCUCAACCUCGGAAUUGCCUUUGAUACUGGGUGUCUUGAGUAUGAGAGAGGUGUGUGGAACUCCGAGUGUAGAGGUGAAAUU